GUGGUCGGGCGCAUCAGCCUUCCAAGCUGAUGGUGCGGGUUCGAUUCCCGUCGCCCGCU
This 59-nucleotide transfer RNA is filed under the name Nocardia terpenica. It matches the Rfam family "tRNA", at positions 15 to 71 of the family's 71-position model. From Rfam's summary of the family: Transfer RNA (tRNA) molecules are approximately 80 nucleotides in length. Their secondary structure includes four short double-helical elements and three loops (D, anti-codon, and T loops). Further hydrogen bonds mediate the characteristic L-shaped molecular structure. tRNAs have two regions of fundamental functional importance: the anti-codon, which is responsible for specific mRNA codon recognition, and the 3' end, to which the tRNAs corresponding amino acid is attached (by aminoacyl-tRNA synthetases). tRNAs cope with the degeneracy of the genetic code in two manners: having more than one tRNA (with a specific anti-codon) for a particular amino acid; and 'wobble' base-pairing, i.e. permitting non-standard base-pairing at the 3rd anti-codon position. Lineage: Bacteria; Bacillati; Actinomycetota; Actinomycetes; Mycobacteriales; Nocardiaceae. The record is from Rfam by way of RNAcentral.